RNAcentral lists this ribosomal RNA (970 nucleotides) under Halomonas elongata. RNAcentral describes it as "bacterial SSU rRNA". It matches the Rfam family "Bacterial small subunit ribosomal RNA", at positions 69 to 1034 of the family's 1533-position model. Lineage: Bacteria; Pseudomonadati; Pseudomonadota; Gammaproteobacteria; Oceanospirillales; Halomonadaceae. The record is from RNAcentral.
CGAUCCUAGCUUGCUAGGAGGCGUCGAGCGGCGGACGGGUGAGUAAUGCAUAGGAAUCUGCCCGGUAGUGGGGGAUAACUUGAGGAAACUCAAGCUAAUACCGCAUACGCCCUACGGGGGAAAGCAGGGGCUCUUCGGACCUUGCGCUAUCGGAUGAGCUUAUGUCGGAUUAGCUGGUUGGUGAGGUAACGGCUCACCAAGGCGACGAUCCGUAGCUGGUCUGAGAGGAUGAUCAGCCACAUCGGGACUGAGACACGGCCCGAACUCCUACGGGAGGCAGCAGUGGGGAAUAUUGGACAAUGGGGGCAACCCUGAUCCAGCCAUGCCGCGUGUGUGAAGAAGGCCCUCGGGUUGUAAAGCACUUUCAGCGAGGAAGAAUGCUUGUCGGUUAAUACCCGGCAAGGGAGACAUCACUCGCAGAAGAAGCACCGGCUAACUCCGUGCCAGCAGCCGCGGUAAUACGGAGGGUGCGAGCGUUAAUCGGAAUUACUGGGCGUAAAGCGUGCGUAGGCGGCUUGAUAAGCCGGUUGUGAAAGCCCCGGGCUCAACCUGGGAACGGCAUCCGGAACUGUUAGGCUAGAGUGCAGGAGAGGAAGGUAGAAUUCCCGGUGUAGCGGUGAAAUGCGUAGAGAUCGGGAGGAAUACCAGUGGCGAAGGCGGCCUUCUGGACUGACACUGACGCUGAGGUACGAAAGCGUGGGUAGCAAACAGGAUUAGAUACCCUGGUAGUCCACGCCGUAAACGAUGUCGACUAGCCGUUGGGGUCCUCGAGACCUUUGUGGCGCAGUUAACGCACUAAGUCGACCGCCUGGGGAGUACGGCCGCAAGGUUAAAACUCAAAUGAAUUGACGGGGGCCCGCACAAGCGGUGGAGCAUGUGGUUUAAUUCGAUGCAACGCGAAGAACCUUACCUACCCUUGACAUCGUGCGAACUUUCCAGAGAUGGAUUGGUGCCUUCGGGAGCGCACAGA